GAUGAACGCUAGCUACAGGCCUAACACAUGCAAGUCGAGGGACCGGCGCACGGGUGAGUAACACGUACCCAACCUGCCCCUUCCCCGGGGAUAGCCUUUCGAAAGGAAGAUUAAUACUCGAUAUAAAGGAGGGGGAUGGGUUCCAUUAGGUUGUUGGUGAGGGAACGGCCCACCAAGCCUUCGAUGGAUAGGGGUUCUGAGAGGAAGGUCCCCCACAAUGGAACGUAGACACGGUCCAAACUCCUACGGGAGGCAGCAGUGAGGAAUAUUGGUCAAUGGGCGCUAGCCUGAACCAGCCAAGUAGCGUGAAGGGUGAAUGCUUAUGAGUCGUAAACUUCUUUUAUAUAAGAAUAUGUAUUAUAUGAGUAAGGAUCGGCUAACUCCGUGCCAGCAGCCGCGGUAAUUC
RNAcentral lists this ribosomal RNA (406 nucleotides) under uncultured bacterium. RNAcentral's name for it is "partial 16S ribosomal RNA". It matches the Rfam family "Bacterial small subunit ribosomal RNA", at positions 28 to 526 of the family's 1533-position model. The record is from RNAcentral.